RNAcentral lists this ribosomal RNA (508 nucleotides) under uncultured bacterium. RNAcentral's name for it is "partial 16S ribosomal RNA". It matches the Rfam family "Bacterial small subunit ribosomal RNA", at positions 28 to 523 of the family's 1533-position model. The record is from RNAcentral.
GAUGAACGCUAGCUACAGGCUUAACACAUGCAAGUCGAGGGGAAACGACAUCGAAAGCUUGCUUUUGAUGGGCGUCGACCGGCGCACGGGUGAGUAACGCGUAUCCAACCUGCCCACCACUUGGGGAUAACCUUGCGAAAGUAAGACUAAUACCCAAUGACGUCUCUAGAAGACAUCUGAAAGAGAUUAAAGAUUUAUCGGUGAUGGAUGGGGAUGCGUCUGAUUAGCUUGUUGUCGGGGUAACGGCCCACCAAGGCGACGAGCAGUAGGGGUGCUGAGAGGAAGGUCCCCCACAUUGGAACUGAGACACGGUCCAAACUCCUACGGGAGGCAGCAGUGAGGAAUAUUGGUCAAUGGACGAGAGUCUGAACCAGCCAAGUAGCGUGCAGGAUGACGGCCCUAUGGGUUGUAAACUACUUUUAUAAGGGAAUAAAGUGAGUCUCGUGAGACUUUUUGCAUGUACCUUAUGAAUAAGGACCGGCUAAUUCCGUGCCAGCAGCCGCCGUAA